Molecule: ribosomal RNA, 1540 nt
Filed under: Klebsiella ornithinolytica
Lineage: Bacteria; Pseudomonadati; Pseudomonadota; Gammaproteobacteria; Enterobacterales; Enterobacteriaceae
Description: bacterial SSU rRNA
Rfam family: Bacterial small subunit ribosomal RNA
Source: RNAcentral
AAAUUGAAGAGUUUGAUCAUGGCUCAGAUUGAACGCUGGCGGCAGGCCUAACACAUGCAAGUCGAGCGGUAGCACAGAGAGCUUGCUCUCGGGUGACGAGCGGCGGACGGGUGAGUAAUGUCUGGGAAACUGCCUGAUGGAGGGGGAUAACUACUGGAAACGGUAGCUAAUACCGCAUAACGUCGCAAGACCAAAGUGGGGGACCUUCGGGCCUCAUGCCAUCAGAUGUGCCCAGAUGGGAUUAGCUAGUAGGUGGGGUAAUGGCUCACCUAGGCGACGAUCCCUAGCUGGUCUGAGAGGAUGACCAGCCACACUGGAACUGAGACACGGUCCAGACUCCUACGGGAGGCAGCAGUGGGGAAUAUUGCACAAUGGGCGCAAGCCUGAUGCAGCCAUGCCGCGUGUAUGAAGAAGGCCUUCGGGUUGUAAAGUACUUUCAGCGAGGAGGAAGGUGAUAAGGUUAAUAACCUUGUCGAUUGACGUUACUCGCAGAAGAAGCACCGGCUAACUCCGUGCCAGCAGCCGCGGUAAUACGGAGGGUGCAAGCGUUAAUCGGAAUUACUGGGCGUAAAGCGCACGCAGGCGGUCUGUUAAGUCAGAUGUGAAAUCCCCGGGCUCAACCUGGGAACUGCAUUUGAAACUGGCAGGCUUGAGUCUUGUAGAGGGGGGUAGAAUUCCAGGUGUAGCGGUGAAAUGCGUAGAGAUCUGGAGGAAUACCGGUGGCGAAGGCGGCCCCCUGGACAAAGACUGACGCUCAGGUGCGAAAGCGUGGGGAGCAAACAGGAUUAGAUACCCUGGUAGUCCACGCUGUAAACGAUGUCGACUUGGAGGUUGUUCCCUUGAGGAGUGGCUUCCGGAGCUAACGCGUUAAGUCGACCGCCUGGGGAGUACGGCCGCAAGGUUAAAACUCAAAUGAAUUGACGGGGGCCCGCACAAGCGGUGGAGCAUGUGGUUUAAUUCGAUGCAACGCGAAGAACCUUACCUACUCUUGACAUCCAGAGAACUUAGCAGAGAUGCUUUGGUGCCUUCGGGAACUCUGAGACAGGUGCUGCAUGGCUGUCGUCAGCUCGUGUUGUGAAAUGUUGGGUUAAGUCCCGCAACGAGCGCAACCCUUAUCCUUUGUUGCCAGCGGUUCGGCCGGGAACUCAAAGGAGACUGCCAGUGAUAAACUGGAGGAAGGUGGGGAUGACGUCAAGUCAUCAUGGCCCUUACGAGUAGGGCUACACACGUGCUACAAUGGCAUAUACAAAGAGAAGCGACCUCGCGAGAGCAAGCGGACCUCAUAAAGUAUGUCGUAGUCCGGAUUGGAGUCUGCAACUCGACUCCAUGAAGUCGGAAUCGCUAGUAAUCGUAGAUCAGAAUGCUACGGUGAAUACGUUCCCGGGCCUUGUACACACCGCCCGUCACACCAUGGGAGUGGGUUGCAAAAGAAGUAGGUAGCUUAACCUUCGGGAGGGCGCUUACCACUUUGUGAUUCAUGACUGGGGUGAAGUCGUAACAAGGUAACCGUAGGGGAACCUGCGGUUGGAUCACCUCCUUA